This is a long non-coding RNA of Platichthys flesus (European flounder), 1817 nucleotides long. RefSeq lists it as uncharacterized. The record is from RefSeq and is a predicted model, not a curated record. NCBI's taxonomy places the organism in Eukaryota, Metazoa, Chordata, Actinopteri, Pleuronectiformes, Pleuronectidae. The transcript has 2 exons.
CUCCUACUUUCAGUGUCCUCCAUCUCUCUGCGUUCUCUCAUUUUCUUAUAUUAAAGACAUCCUGACUCCCAGACUCUGGUGGUUCCGUCGCCAUCUGUUAUUCCUGUGAUCUCUACAGAAGCUGUUGGAGAGUGAAGCAGCACAGCGCUGACCUUAUAUAAAGACAGACCAGACCCCACCUUUGUCCCCAAGUCCAUGGAAGCCAAGGCCAAGUCCGCAGCUCCAGCGCCCAAGGCAGCAUCUAAAGCUGAGAAGAAGGAGCCGGCACCAGUCCGCAAGGCCGACCCUGCACCUGCACCUGCAGCCCCCGAGCCUGAGCCUGAGCUUCCUCCUGCUCAGGAUGGAGCACCAGAGGCUGACGCCGCAGCAGCAGGUGAUGAGGGUGCGGCCUCUGGCACAGACACUCUGGAACACCUGAAACCCUUUCUCAUCGGUGGUGCCGUCAUUGCUGCAGCAGCCAUCUUGCUGGGAGCGCUGCUACUGGCGAGGAGAAAUUAGUGUUGUUGAUGGUUCACAGACUACAUGGUACAUAUGGGGGAUGGGGAGCCACUGUGCAAAUUACAUAUUUUUUCCUGUCUUGGCCUGCUUUCAAUCGUAGUGAAUCGAACAAUUCAAGUUUGAUCAAGGCUGUAUAUGGAGCAUAGUUUGAUAUAGCAUAUGCAUGUCAUUGCUUCAAAUCUGCAUCUGAACUGUAAUUAUUUAUUUCUUAAGAAUAAAAAUCACACUGUAUUGAGCUAAAGAACAAAAACUCUCUACAGGUAGCUUAUGCACCUGCUUUAUUUUGUUUAAUCCUGUUUAGACAAAUAUUGAUAUAAUCGUGCAAUAUUUGAACAUUCUUGCACCGGAAAUGAACUUGGUUAACUUUGGUAAAAGAUCAUGAAAAACUGUUGAAACGCUCAGAUAUUAAUUCUGACCAUCAGAGUUGAUCGAUGAGAGACAGAGAGAAAAAACAACCAUGAAACAACUGGGAAUAUCCAUUGUGAGGAUUUGCACAUAUUGAGGCUAAAUCAUUGCCUAACUAUUUCUUCAGAAUACUUGGAGUAAGACAAUUUUCCUGCAAAUCCCCAAAAAAUGUAAAAUGGAGAAUGGCCCACUGCAAUUCAAAGAAAUAACAAUUAUAUAUAAGCAUGCAGUGGUAUAAGAAGUGGAUAUAGGGAGUUCUUGGAUAUAUUAUAUCAAGUACAGUAUGUGGCACGAACGAAUGGUGGAGUUACUCUUGCUGUAGAAUAAGAAACCGUUUGAGUUUACUGUAAUGUCUGAAAUCAAUAACCUUUUAUGUCUUACACAAUAGCCACAGUUGUGCUGGUUCAAUUUGUAAACAUCUCACAGUAGAUACUUAGCUGUAGCAGCCAUUCGUGUGGAGGUAUCAGGAUUUAAACCUGCUGCCAACAUGAGAGUUGUUUCUGGUUUCACUGUUCUCCCCCAGUGUGGCUUUAGGAAAAUAAUCUUGAUUUCAAAACCUCAUUAAUACCAAGGUACAACUUUCAUGGGAUGAACGUAUACUACAUAUUUAAUAAUGUCAAAGAAGUGUAGAUGAACUACUGUUGUAUAGUCUACUCAAAAGAAAAUAUCAAGCAGUCACAGUUUUCCUACUGCGUCCACUUGCCUGCACAUCUGUAAACACUGUUGUCCACUCACAUGUAAAGUUCAUGGGGAAUCUUCUGCUGCAUAAGUAGAUAGUUACAAGACAAUUCUAGCACAUAUCCUUACCUGAUUUUAGUUGUGAGGGAACCACAUAUAUUAUACAAACAUACCACAUUCACCACAGUCAACACCCCAGAUACAUCCAAAAGAUAGUAUGCCAACACCGACAAAAA